GCCCCCAUAGCUCAGCGGAUAGAGUGUCUGCCUCCGACGCAGAAGGCCGCAGGUUCGAAUCCUGCUGGGGGCACCA
RNAcentral lists this transfer RNA (76 nucleotides) under Alpinimonas psychrophila. Its description in RNAcentral is "tRNA-Arg". It matches the Rfam family "tRNA". Rfam says of the family: Transfer RNA (tRNA) molecules are approximately 80 nucleotides in length. Their secondary structure includes four short double-helical elements and three loops (D, anti-codon, and T loops). The record is from RNAcentral. Lineage: Bacteria; Bacillati; Actinomycetota; Actinomycetes; Micrococcales; Microbacteriaceae.